RNAcentral lists this long non-coding RNA (1319 nucleotides) under Vulpes vulpes (red fox). RNAcentral's name for it is "lncRNA (ENSVVUG00000016100.1)". Lineage: Eukaryota; Metazoa; Chordata; Mammalia; Carnivora; Canidae. The record is from RNAcentral.
AUGUUUUUCUCAUGGAGGAUCACAGCUGUCAAGAAGACAAGCCCAACAUUCAGGUUUAUGUCAUGGCUGUUGACAUCAUUUAAAGCAAUCUAUGUGGCCAAGCGCAGAUCAGAAGGAGGGACUCUCUUCAUUCACUCUAAGGCUAUGACAGAGCCUCUCUCUUGUGCUCUGCAGUCUUCCACCCACGGUGAAAUCCAGCAAAUCCACAGCAAGCUGUAUACAUUGUCAUUGAGCUUUUCCAACAAAGCAUUCGGUGGACAAAAGAAAGAUGAUGCCACCAGGAGGUUGUUGCUGUUAUUUUUCUACUUGUUUGGAUAUUUUGCCCUUUGCAACAUCAUCUCAGAGAGCAUGAUCAGCAAAUCCCAGAAGACUUGCUAUAAAUCUCUCGGCUUCCAUCCCGUAAUGACUUGGGCAGAAACAUUCUGAAUUAAACGAUGCUGUGACGUGAUUUAUGUACAUCUGGACUUUCAACCCAAUGGCUUCCCAGCACUCUAUCAAUCUUUAUAAAGUCCUGGCAAUGUACUUGAAAAGAAUUGCAAUGCAGUGAGUUAAAAGCGAGGCCUGGAUUUUUGCCAAUGUGACAAGAUAAGAAGCUGUGUGACCUGGCCCAUGCUGUGAAGCUGGUGCGGGAGAAAUGAUUGCACUUUGGGCUCAGAAGCCCCCUGAGCUCUGCUGCUUGCCCUCUCCAGUCAACUGCCACAGCUUGAAAUGACUACUGCCGGGAAAGGUUAGGAGAAACUUCAACGCUGGGGCUUCUUUAAUAUUUCUUUCAUGACAUUAAGUUGAAGCUGCUGGAGCAUGGCUUGCAUUUUAACCCUGUUAAUUUAUUCAGAUUGGUGCCUUCCUAAACCUAUACAAUAUAAUUCAGCAAGCCUACGGAUUGUAUUAUUGUUCCCAGUAUAAGGUAACUCUUACUCCCUAUAAGGGGAUUAAACCUUCCAGGCCCAUGGACAGCAGGCUUGACUAUGUGACUUGGUUUGGCUAAUGAAAUGUAGUCAGAAAUGCUAGAUGAGCAUUGCGAGCAAAAGCUCUAUGAGCUGUUGUGGUAUUUCACCAUCAUUCUUUUCCCAGAGGCAGGUCCCAGAUGGAGGCUGCUCAUUCAACCUGAGUGGGCUCCAGAUGAAAGAGCCCAAGCCAACCUAUGAUUGACAUAUAAAAUGAGCAAGAAGAAAAUUCUGUUUUAAGAUAUUGAGGUUUGAUGGUAGUAGGUGCCUUUUGUUACUGUAGCAUAACUCAGUCUAAGCUGAGUGAUAAAAUCAGUAUCCUUUAUAGAAACUAUAAUAACCUACCAAACAUGAAUAAACCAAAAAAGCUCAGCA